Granulicatella elegans ATCC 700633 is the source of this 123-nucleotide regulatory RNA element. It matches the Rfam family "Ribosomal protein L20 leader". From Rfam's summary of the family: This family is a putative r-protein leader autoregulatory structure found in B. subtilis and other low-GC Gram-positive bacteria. It is located in the 5' untranslated regions of mRNAs encoding initiation factor 3 followed by ribosomal proteins L35 and L20 (infC-rpmI-rplT). The record is from Rfam. NCBI's taxonomy places the organism in Bacteria, Bacillati, Bacillota, Bacilli, Lactobacillales, Carnobacteriaceae.
GAAAACAAGCAGAAGCAUCCCGCUUCUCGCCUAAGUUGACUGAAGUCCUUGGGCCGAUAGUAAUGUUUAUUUAAUGAAGACAUUGGCAGCGGGGAUAUUUUGUUCUCGUUGCUUUUUUGCUUU